GUGUUCACCUUGGCAGCACAUAUACUAAACUGGAACGAUGCAGGGAAGAUUAGCAAGGCUCCUCCUGCACAAGGAUAACAUACAAAUCUAUGAAGCAGUCCACAUUUUA
Molecule: small nuclear RNA, 109 nt
Organism: Octodon degus (degu)
Lineage: Eukaryota; Metazoa; Chordata; Mammalia; Rodentia; Octodontidae
Source: Ensembl